GUGAAGGAGCCAGCUAGAGCCUGGAGGGGCCCCAGACUAUGGAUGGGGCCAAGAGAAAGGGGAUGGAAAAAUGCUCAUUUUUGGCUGCUGACAAAAUGGAGGACCCAGGAGUGAGGGAAGUAGUUUGCAGUUAUUUCUGGAGUGGACAGCUCUGAGGAAAAACACCAAAACCCCAGAUCUGUCUUAGACCAUGAAGCAUGAAUCACUUACACCAGAAAGAUGAAGAAAGC
Suricata suricatta (meerkat) is the source of this 230-nucleotide long non-coding RNA. RefSeq lists it as uncharacterized. The transcript has 3 exons. NCBI's taxonomy places the organism in Eukaryota, Metazoa, Chordata, Mammalia, Carnivora, Herpestidae. The record is from RefSeq and is a predicted model, not a curated record.